Molecule: ribosomal RNA, 292 nt
Filed under: uncultured Bacteroidota bacterium
Lineage: Bacteria; Pseudomonadati; Bacteroidota
Description: uncultured Bacteroidetes bacterium partial 16S ribosomal RNA
Source: RNAcentral
GGACUACUGGGGUAUCUAAUCCUGUUUGAUUCCCACACUUUCGUGCUUCAGUGUCAGAACCGCUCCGGUAUGCUGCCUACGCUAUCGGGGUUCUUCGUAAUAUCUAUGCAUUUCACCGCUACACUACGAAUUCCGCAUACCUCGUCCGGUCUCAAGUCUGACAGUUUCAACGGCAAUUUCCCGGUUAAGCCGGAACAUUUCACCGCUGACUUAGCAGACAACCUACGCACCCUUUAAACCCAAUAAAUCCGGAUAACGCUCGCAUCCUCCGUAUUACCGCGGCGGCUGGCAC